Molecule: ribosomal RNA, 397 nt
Filed under: uncultured bacterium
Lineage: Bacteria
Description: partial 16S ribosomal RNA
Rfam family: Bacterial small subunit ribosomal RNA
Source: RNAcentral
AAUCUUCGGCAAUGGGCGAAAAGCCUGACCGAGCGACGCCGCGUGGGGGAAGAAGGUUUUCGUAUCGUAAACCCCUGUCCUUGGGGACGAAGGUGACGGUACCCCAGGAGGAAGCCCCGGCUAACUACGUGCCAGCAGCCGCGGUAAUACGUAGGGGGCGAGCGUUGUCCGGAAUCACUGGGCGUAAAGGGUGCGUAGGCGGCUAUUUAAGUCCUGUGUGAAAGGCUCCGGCUCAACCGGGGAGUUGCAUGGGAAACUGGGUGGCUUGAGUGCUGGAGAGGGUUGCGGAAUUCCCGGCGUAGCGGUGAAAUGCGUAGAUAUCGGGAGGAACACCAGUGGCGAAGGCGGCAACCUGGACAGUGACUGACGCUGAGGCACGACAGCUGGGGGAGCGAAC